This 237-nucleotide ribosomal RNA is filed under the name uncultured bacterium. Its description in RNAcentral is "partial 16S ribosomal RNA". It matches the Rfam family "Bacterial small subunit ribosomal RNA", at positions 1283 to 1519 of the family's 1533-position model. The record is from RNAcentral.
CGAUCGUAGUCCGGAUCGCAGUCUGCAACUCGACUGCGUGAAGUCGGAAUCGCUAGUAAUCGUGAAUCAGAAUGUCACGGUGAAUACGUUCCCGGGCCUUGUACACACCGCCCGUCACACCAUGGGAGUGGGUUGCUCCAGAAGUAGCUAGUCUAACCGCAAGGGGGACGGUUACCACGGAGUGAUUCAUGACUGGGGUGAAGUCGUAACAAGGUAACCAAGGGCGAAUUCGCGGCC